RNAcentral lists this ribosomal RNA (820 nucleotides) under uncultured bacterium. RNAcentral describes it as "bacterial SSU rRNA". It matches the Rfam family "Bacterial small subunit ribosomal RNA", at positions 67 to 871 of the family's 1533-position model. The record is from RNAcentral.
CGAGAAGGAGACUUCGGUCUCUGAGUAGAGCGGCGCACGGGUGAGUAACGCGUGGAUGAUCUACCCUUGAGUUCGGGAUAACGGUGCGAAAGCGCCGCUAAUACCGUAUAACAAUCCAUUUCAUCGUGGGUUCAAAGCAGGCCUCUUCAUGAAAGCUUGCGCUUGGGGAUGAGUCCGCGUCCCAUUAGCUUGUUGGCGGGGUAACGGCCCACCAAGGCUACGAUGGGUAGCUGGUCUGAGAGGAUGAUCAGCCACACUGGAACUGAAACACGGUCCAGACUCCUACGGGAGGCAGCAGUGGGGAAUAUUGCGCAAUGGGGGAAACCCUGACGCAGCGACGUCGUGUGAGGGAAGAAGGCCUUCGGGUCGUAAACCUCUGUCAGAAGGGAAGAACAUCCGGGAGUCGAACAGCCUCCCGGCCUGACGGUACCUUCAGAGGAAGCGCCGGCUAACUCCGUGCCAGCAGCCGCGGUAAUACGGAGGGCGCAAGCGUUAAUCGGAAUCACUGGGCGUAAAGCGUGCGUAGGCUGUUUGAUAAGUCAGACGUGAAAUCCCUCGGCUCAACCGGGGAACUGCGUUUGAUACUGUUGAACUAGAGUCCUGGAGAGGGUGGCGGAAUUCCUGGUGUAGGAGUGAAAUCCGUAGAUAUCAGGAGGAACACCGGUGGCGAAGGCGGCCACCUGGACAGGUACUGACGCUGAGGUACGAAAGCGUGGGGAGCAAACAGGAUUAGAUACCCUGGUAGUCCACGCGGUAAACGAUGGAUGCUAGGUGUCGGGGAGCGAUCUUCGGCGCCGCAGCUAACGCAUUAAGCAUCCCG